This 1357-nucleotide ribosomal RNA is filed under the name Enterococcus faecalis. RNAcentral's name for it is "partial 23S ribosomal RNA". It matches the Rfam family "Bacterial large subunit ribosomal RNA", at positions 497 to 1865 of the family's 2925-position model. The record is from RNAcentral. Lineage: Bacteria; Bacillati; Bacillota; Bacilli; Lactobacillales; Enterococcaceae.
AGUACCGUGAGGGAAAGGUGAAAAGCACCCCGGAAGGGGAGUGAAAUAGAUCCUGAAACCGUGUGCCUACAACAAGUCAAAGCUCGUUAAUGAGUGAUGGCGUGCCUUUUGUAGAAUGAACCGGCGAGUUACGAUUGCAUGCGAGGUUAAGUCGAAGAGACGGAGCCGCAGCGAAAGCGAGUCUGAAUAGGGCGAAUGAGUAUGUAGUCGUAGACCCGAAACCAUGUGAUCUACCCAUGUCCAGGUUGAAGGUGCGGUAAAACGCACUGGAGGACCGAACCCACGUACGUUGAAAAGUGCGGGGAUGAGGUGUGGGUAGCGGAGAAAUUCCAAACGAACUUGGAGAUAGCUGGUUCUCUCCGAAAUAGCUUUAGGGCUAGCCUCGGAAUUGAGAAUGAUGGAGGUAGAGCACUGUUUGGACUAGGGGCCCAUCUCGGGUUACCGAAUUCAGAUAAACUCCGAAUGCCAUUCAUUUAUAUCCGGGAGUCAGACUGCGAGUGAUAAGAUCCGUAGUCGAAAGGGAAACAGCCCAGACCACCAGCUAAGGUCCCAAAAUAUAUGUUAAGUGGAAAAGGAUGUGGGGUUGCACAGACAACUAGGAUGUUGGCUUAGAAGCAGCCACCAUUUAAAGAGUGCGUAAUAGCUCACUAGUCGAGUGACCCUGCGCCGAAAAUGUACCGGGGCUAAACAUAUUACCGAAGCUGUGGACUACACCAUUAGGUGUAGUGGUAGGAGAGCGUUCUAAGGGCGUUGAAGGUCGAUCGUGAGGACGGCUGGAGCGCUUAGAAGUGAGAAUGCCGGUAUGAGUAGCGAAAGACAGGUGAGAAUCCUGUCCACCGUAUGACUAAGGUUUCCUGGGGAAGGCUCGUCCGCCCAGGGUUAGUCGGGACCUAAGCCGAGGCCGAUAGGCGUAGGCGAUGGACAACAGGUUGAUAUUCCUGUACCAGUUGUUUUUGUUUGAGCAAUGGAGGGACGCAGUAGGCUAAGGAAUGCAUGCGAUUGGAAGUGCAUGUCCAAGCAAUGAGUCUUGAGUAGAGUUAAAUGCUUUACUCUUUAAGGACAAGUUGUGACGGGGAGCGAAAUAAUAGUAGCGAAGUUCCUGAUGUCACACUGCCAAGAAAAGCUUCUAGUGAGAAAACAACUGCCCGUACCGUAAACCGACACAGGUAGUCGAGGAGAGUAUCCUAAGGUGAGCGAGCGAACUCUCGUUAAGGAACUCGGCAAAAUGACCCCGUAACUUCGGGAGAAGGGGUGCUGACUUCGGUCAGCCGCAGUGAAUAGGCCCAAGCGACUGUUUAUCAAAAACACAGGUCUCUGCAAAAUCGUAAGAUGAAGUAUAGGGGCUGACGCCUGCCCG